GUACGCGGGAGCAGCCAUUCGUCAAUCUGGACGGUGCCAUAGGUCAACGCUUAAGCACAAGGGUGGACUAGCAUGGUGAAGGGCACGACAAGGGUGGCGUCCCCGGCAAGAUGACCCAGACGAUACACUCCCACCCUCACCCACAGGGACGUCCACCCCCGCCCCUGCUCCAGCCCCGCCCACAGCCCAGUGUAGUAAGGAGGACGCGUAUCGAGUGGGCGUGGCGACAUGCAGUGUUGUGGGCGUUGGUGGCCGCGGUGUGGUGCUGUGGGCGCGGUGCGGGGGGCAGCAACGGGGAGAGCGUGCGUUUCUCCCGCCCACAGUACAACGCCAGCGUGCCCGAGAAUGCCCUGGGCAACACGCCCGUGGUGAGCGACGUGAUGAUGGGCGUGCGCAUCACCGACCCCUCGCUCAGGAUCCGCUACCGCAUCACGGAGGGCGAUAGCCAGAACUUCUUCCGUGCCGCCGCGCGCGUCGUCGGCGACUUCUGCUUCCUGGAGCUGAGCGUGCGCACCGGCAACCAGCGCGUGCUCAACCGGGAGUCCAAUGACCUGUACAAGCUCAAGGUGAAGGCGCAGCACCGGCGCCACGACCGCACCAAGGAGGACCUGCCCGGCGCCGUCACCGAGGUGUGGGUCACCAUCACGGACCUCAACGACCUGUCGCCCUUCUUCCUGAUGGACGAGUACCGCGUGCGCCUCAGCGAGGACACGCCCCUCCACGCGUCCGUGGCUCGCGUCAAGGCCGAGGACCCCGACGCGGGCCUCAACGGCCAGAUCUACUACAGCUUCAAGGAGGACACGCCGGUGUUCGCCAUCCACCCGACGUCGGGCGUCGUCACGCUCACGCGGCCGCUGCGCUUCCUGGAGCAGGCCAAGUACCAGCUGACUGUGCAGGCGCAGGACCGCGGGCUGCGGCAGCGCGGCGGCUGGCCCGCGCUGGCCCGCCUCUUCGUCAACGUGACGGAGGAGAACGUCUACGACCCCGAGAUCCUGGUGACGAAGCUGCCCGAGGCCAUGUCGCGCGCGCACCUUUCCGUGGUGGCCAUCAUCAACGUGGUGGACCAGGACCGCGGCCCCAGCGGCGAGGUGCGCUCGCUGGAGAUCGUGGAGGGCGACCCCGACCGCGUGUUCCGCGUCCUGCCCAGCUCGGGCGGUAACGAGUUCAACCUGGCGGCGCUCGACACCAUCGACUGGAGCGACACGCCGCUCGGCUUUAACCUCACGCUCAAGGCCACCGACGGCGGCACGCGGCCGCGCUUCAGCUACAAGGUGGUGCGUGUGGCGGCGCCGCCCACGCCCGAGGAGGAGGCCGCCUUCACGCAGGAGGUGUAUGAGGCGGAGGUGAGCGAGGUGGCGCCGCUGGGCACGCGCGUGCUGCAGGUGGGCGCGUGGCUGCCCGGGGCGCAGCGGCGCGUCAAGUUCGACAUCGUGGCGGGCAACAAGGGUGGCCAGUUCCACAUCGACCCGACGUCGGGCGUGAUCACCACCACUUCGCUGCUCGACGCCGAAACGCGCGACGCAUACACGCUGACGGUGGCGGCCACGACGCCGUCGCUGCUGACGUCGCAGCGCCAGGCGGCCGCCAAGGUCAUUGUGCGUGUCAAGGACGCCAACGACAACACGCCCAUGAUCGUGGCGCCGCAGGGCGUGGUGCGCGUGGAGGAGCACCAGCCCACCGGCACGUGGGUGACCAAGGUGCGCGCUCAGGACUACGACUCCGGCGAGAACGGCUACGUGUCGUACAGCCUGGCCAACGCGAACGACGUGCCCUUCUCCGUGGACCACUUCACGGGCGAGGUGCGCACCACGCGCGCCCUCGACUACGAGACGGAGCGACGCACGUGGCGCCUGCGCGUGCGCGCGUCCGACUGGGGAUCGCCGUACCGCCGCCAGAGCGAGAAAAUCAUCACGGUCCACGUGGAGGACGUCAACGACAACCGGCCGCAGUUCGAGCGCGUGUCGUGCAGCGGCUUCAUCGACCGCUUCACGCCGCUGGGCUCCGAGAUCUUCACGCUGUCAGCCGUCGACUUCGACCAGGGCAACAUCAUCAGCUACCGCAUCGUGGGCGGCAACGACGACCGCUGCUUCUCGCUCGACUCCACCUCGGGCGUGCUCACCCUCACGUGCGACCUGCAGGACCUGCUCACGCCCGAGCGCAUCGUGAACGUCACGGCCACGGACGGCCAGCACUUCGCCGACACGCUGCCGCUUCGCUUCCAGCUGGUCAAGCAGCAGAACCACGUGGGCGGCUCGUGGGCGGAUCUGGAGUGCCGCGAGAUGGGCGUGGCGCAGCGCCUGGCCGAGCAGCUGGCCCGCGCCGCCAAGAACAACCUGAAGGACGACUCGCUGCUGCUGCUGACGCCCCCGCCGCCCGUAGUCAACGCCCACGCGCCCGAGCUGCGCAACAUGCCGCUGGAGGUGCGCGUGCGCGAGAACAGCGAGCCGGGCACCGUGGUGUUCAAGGUGGACGCGGAGGACGAGGACGUGGGCUACCCGGGCCACCUGGUCUACUCCAUCGUGGAGGGCAACGAGGAGGCCGUCUUCAUGAUGGACAUGGUCACGGGCGAGCUGACCGUCGUGGGGCUGCUGGACCGCGAGCGGCUUGCGCGCUACACGCUCAACCUGACGGCGUCCGACCUGGGCGACCCGCGGCGCAUGGCCUCGCGCCUCGUCACCAUCACCCUCGUCGACGAGAACGACAACGCGCCGCAGUUCGACAAGCCCGCCUACAGCUUCUUCCUGCCGGAGAACGUCGCCAACGGCACCAGCGUGUACGAGCUGCGCGCGCACGACCCGGACGAGGGCAGCAACGGCGUGGUGACCUACAGCCUGGCCACGGACACCAAGGACUUCCGGCUGGACCCCGUGACGGGCCGGCUGAGCGUGGCCUGGCCGCUCGACCACGAGACGCACGACGUCUACGAGCUGCGCGUCGUGGCCACGGACGGCGGCGCCCGCUCCGCCCACGCCUACGUCACGGUGCAGGUGGCCAACAUCAACGACUGCCCGCCCGUCUUCCCCAGCGACAGGAACACCGCCAUCAGGAUACCCGAGGACCUGCCUCUGGGCGCCCUUGUCACCCUAGUGGCCGCCCACGACCCGGACUCGCCCAAGCUGCGCUACUCGCUGGUGGGCGGCCACGAGGGCGUCUUCAGGAUCGACGAGGACACCGCCGCCCUGCGCCUCGCCGCCCCCCUCAACUACGAGACGCGGCCCGCCUACAAUAUCACCGUCAGGGCCACGGACGACGGCACGCCCCCGCUCGCCGCCAUCACCUACGUCAUCGUGCAGGUGGUGGACGUGGACGAGAACGUGCACGCGCCAGUCUUCGGGCAGGACGUGGCGGAGGCGGCUGUGCUGGAGUCCUCUGCGCCCCACACCCUCGUCGCGUCGGUUCCCGCCCUCGACGCCGACCUCAAUCCCGCCGACGCGGCCGUGACGUAUUCGCUGGUCGGGCCCGAGGGGAGGGGCGUCUUCUAUAUCGAUCAGAAGGGUGACAUCUACACGUCGUCAUGGCUGGACCGGGAGACAGCGUCCAGGUAUUGGCUGAGCGUCCGUGCCCAGGACUCCGGCACCGUGCCCAAGCACGCCACGCUGCACGUCUACGUAAUGGUGGAGGACGUGAACGACCACCACCCGCUGAGCUCGUGGCCCGUGUACUGGCCUGGCGUGGCCGAGAAUUCGCCUCCAGACACGGUGGUGGUGACCGUCGAAGCCACGGACCCCGAUCCCUCCGCGAAUAUCACCUACGAAAUCUCAGGAGGGAACCCGCAGUCUAUUUUCACCAUCGACGCGAAAACGGGCGAGAUCCGGACGACGGGGCGGCAGCUGGACCGCGAGCAGCACGCCGAGCACAUGCUGGAGGUGACGAUCCGCGACGGCGAGGACCCGGCGACGUCCCUCUCCUCCGUCGCCUACGUCGCCGUCAACGUCCUGGACGAGAACGACCACGCCCCGGCCUUCCUCGAGAGCCUGUACAAGUUCUCGGUGCCCAUCCUGCCGCGGCCGCCCACGCACAAGGACAAGGAGUACGUCGAGGACAUGCCCAUCGGAAGGGUCGUGGCCGUGGAUGAGGACGAGGACGACAACGGCGACAUCACCUACAGCAUCGAGGGCGACCAGUGGCUCGGGACGUUCAAGAUCGACAACAAGACGGGCAUCAUCUCCGCCAAGGCCGGACUCAACCCUGAGGAGGACUACGAGUUCACGGUCCAGGCCAUAGACAACGGUCGUCCUCGAAACGCCAGCUCCUGCCUGGUGGUGAUCGACGUCGUGCCCGUGCCCGAGGACUCGAAAAACCCGCCGUCGAUCCUGGAGGAGGCGGAGGCGCGGGUCACGGUGCUCGAGAGUGACCCCAUCGGCCAGCACGUGACCCUCAUCAACGCCCGAGACGAGGACGGGGACCGCGUGUGGUUCGAUAUUAUAGCUGGCGACGACGAGUACAAGUUCGCCAUCGGGAGGGACACAGGCAGCAUCAUGUUGGCAGGAAAGUUGGAUGCUGAGAAGAAAUCCCUGUACAACCUCACUAUUGGAGUCACGGACGGCGUCUACACUGUCACCAGCCAGGUGAUCGUCUCCGUCCUGGACGUGAACGACAACCGGCCGGCGUUCUCGGAGCCCACGUACGAGGUGGAGGUGGGCGAGAACACCUCCCCGGGCACCACCAUCGCCACCCUCACCGCCUCCGACCCCGACUCCGACAAGCACCUCACCUUCACGCUCGUCAACACAGCCCACGUCGCCUCCGCCUCAAAGUUCAUGGUCAGCCCGGAGAGCGGGGACAUCGUUCUGUAUGAGCCGCUAGACAGGGAGGUGCAGGAGGUGCACAUCCUGACCGUGUGCGUGAAGGACCGCAUCAUCCCCAUCAAGAGCGACUACGCGCGCGUGAUCAUCCGCGUGCGGGACUACAACGACCACGCGCCGCAGUUCCUCGCCACCCUGUACAACGGCACGGUCACGGAGACGGCGGCGGUGGGCACGGCCGUCACGGAGGUGGUGGCCAUCGACAGGGACAAGGGCGUCAACGGGGAUAUUACGUAUUCCAUUAUCUCAGGCAACAUUGGGGGCGUGUUCAGCCUCCAUCCCUCGACGGGCAUCAUCACCCUGGUACGCAACGUGGAUAGACAGGAGAUGCCCGAGUACUGGCUGGCUGUGCGGGGAAGUGACAACGGAUCGCCGCCCAAGCACUCGCACGUCAAUGUGAACAUCCAUGUGAAGAUUGCUCACGGGGCUCCGCCAAGGUUCCUGAAGAAGGAGUACGUGUUAGAGGUGAGCGAAAAGGCCCACGUCGGGGACUACCUGGGUAUCGUGGAGGUGGAGAGCCGCCUCGGCGUGGUGUUCUCCCUCAACGUGGACUCCAGGCGGAUUCCCUUCGCCAUCAACCCUUCUACCGGAACCGUGUCCCUCGACGCCCCUGUGGACUACGAGAAGAGCCAGUCCUACAACUACACUGUGUUUGCGUCGUCGAUGAACGGGCAGGAGUCAACAGCUCACCUGGUGAUCAAUGUCUUGGACGAGAACGACAACCCUCCAUACUUCACCCAGAGCAGCUACGUGGGCCACAUUUCCGAAGCGGCCGCAGUCAACUCAGUCGUCCUGAUGGAGGAUAACACCCCCCUGGUCAUCUCUGCCAAGGACAAGGACUCGGACCAGAAUGCCAACCUGGUGUUUACCAUCUUGGAAGAGGAGGCGAGGAAGUACUUCGCCAUCGACUCCUUCGACUGGUGCUAUAAGGACUGUCGGACCUUUGGAUCACGAAGUUGUAUCCAAGGUGACCUUCAGUGUUAAGGUCCAUGACAACGGCCACCCGAGACUGUGCGCUUCUACCACUGCCACGGUCACCAUCACUAUCACUGACAUUAACGAUGUACCCCCUCGGUUUCUGCUGCAGGAGUACAAUGCUUCUUUACUCAUACCCACCAAUGUUGGCGUGGCUGUUGUGCAGCUCAAUGCAACGGACCUGGAUUUUGAUGGCAAGGCUAAUCUGGAGUAUGAAAUAGCGGACGGAAAUAAGGAUGGCAAGUUCAAGAUCAGUUCAAAGACGGGGCUCAUUACCGUCAACGAAUCCAGGAACUUGGCUGGUUUUUAUCGACUAAAAGUGACUGUGAAUGACGGCCAGUUCGCCUCCAGCACCACAGCCAACAUCCACGUGGAACCGAUACCCAACACAGGCCUGAGAUUCAGCGAGGACAAGUACUUCGCGGCCGUGGAGGAGAACAGCACCCGAGUGGACAAGGUGGUGAUGGUGCACGUCCUGGGCAGUGAACUGAAUGAACAUCUGAAGUUCAGCAUCCUGAAUCCUACUGACAUGUUCGAGAUAGGAGAGACUUCAGGCGUGAUCCAGACCCGAGGGAGACCAUUCGACAGGGAGGUGCAGGAUAACUAUCUACUCAUAGUUGAGGUCCGAAGCAUCAUCCCCAGCGUCCCAGCGAGAGUGGCCCACGUGCAAGUCCACGUCGUUGUCACGGACCGCAACGACAACGCCCCCAUCUUCGUCAACAAACCCUACUACGGCGUCAUCUCUGUCGACGCCAAGAAGAACCAAGUGGUGUUCAGGGUCCACGCCACCGACUUCGAUGCCGACGAAAACCGCGACGUCCGCUACGAACUGCAACGAGGCAACGGCGAGCUCUUCAGCGUCAGCCGGUCCACGGGCGAGAUCAUCCUCAGGCAGACCCUCGAAGGCCUCAAGAGCGAGUACGAGCUCAUCGUCAGCGCGUACGACGGAG
RNAcentral lists this unclassified non-coding RNA (6730 nucleotides) under Penaeus monodon (black tiger shrimp). RNAcentral's name for it is "fat-like cadherin-related tumor suppressor homolog, transcript variant X4". The record is from RNAcentral. Lineage: Eukaryota; Metazoa; Arthropoda; Malacostraca; Decapoda; Penaeidae.